GACGAACGCUGGCGGCGUGCUUAACACAUGCCAGUCGAACGGAAAGGCCCUGCUUGCAGGGUACUCGAGUGGCGAACGGGUGAGUAACACGUGGGUGAUCUGCCCUGCACUUCGGGAUAAGCUUGGGAAACUGGGUCUAAUACCGGAUAGGAGCCAUCUUUAGUGUGGUGGUUGGAAAGUUUUUUCGGUGUAGGAUGAGCUCGCGGCCUAUCAGCUUGUUGGUGGGGUAAUGGCCUACCAAGGCGGCGACGGGUAGCCGGCCUGAGAGGGUGUACGGCCACAUUGGGACUGAGAUACGGCCCAGACUCCUACGGGAGGCAGCAGUGGGGAAUAUUGCACAAUGGGCGCAAGCCUGAUGCAGCGACGCCGCGUGGGGGAUGAAGGCCUUCGGGUUGUAAACUCCUUUCGCUAGGGACGAAGCUUUUUUGUGACGGUACCUAGAUAAGAAGCACCGGCUAACUACGUG
Molecule: ribosomal RNA, 466 nt
Filed under: uncultured bacterium
Lineage: Bacteria
Description: partial 16S ribosomal RNA
Rfam family: Bacterial small subunit ribosomal RNA
Source: RNAcentral